This is a long non-coding RNA of Larimichthys crocea (large yellow croaker), 357 nucleotides long. RefSeq lists it as uncharacterized. Lineage: Eukaryota; Metazoa; Chordata; Actinopteri; Sciaenidae. The transcript is spliced from 3 exons. The record is from RefSeq and is a predicted model, not a curated record.
AGGGAGUAGACCAGCAGGAGAUCCCUCUCCACGUUCUUAUGAAGCGACACCAGUAUCACCCCGUCCAACUGAUUCGGAGAAUGUCGAUGCACUAACGAAACAGAAGACUGAAACAUCAGACUUAAUAUCACCCCGUCCAACUGAUUCAGAGAUUGUUGCUACACUAACGAAACAGAAGAUUGAAACAUCAAACUUAAGACAGGCACUUCUGUCAAGGCUGAAAGAAACAGAAGAAGAAAUAGAAAAGUGCGAUGAGUAUCUUCAGUCAGUGGAGAAUGAACUUGACAAAGGGGCCACAAACUGUGACGAGUUAAUACGUAAUAAAGAAAGACUUUUAGAGUCCAAACGGAGACUGUA